AGUGAACGCUGGCGGCAGGCCUAACACAUGCAAGUCGAACGAACUCUUCGGAGUUAGUGGCGGACGGGUGUGUAACACGUGGGAACGUGCCUUUUGGUUCGGCAUAACUCAGGGAAACUUGUGCUAACACCGAAUGUGCCCUUCGGGGGAAAGAUUUAUUGCCAUUGGAGCGGCCGGCGUCUGAUUAGCUGGUUGGUGAGGUAACGGCUCACCAAGGCGACGAUCAGUAGCUGGUCUGAGAGGAUGACCAGCCACACUGGGAGUGGGACACGGCCCAGACUCCUACGGGAGGCAGCAGUGGGGAAUCUUGCACAAUGGGCGAAAGCCUGACGCAGCCAGGCCGCGUGAAUGAUGAAAGUCGUAAGAUUGAAAAAUUCUUUCACCGAGGACGAUAAUGACGGUACCCGAAGAAGAAGCCCCGGCUAACUUCGUG
Molecule: ribosomal RNA, 433 nt
Filed under: uncultured bacterium
Lineage: Bacteria
Description: partial 16S ribosomal RNA
Rfam family: Bacterial small subunit ribosomal RNA
Source: RNAcentral